CCUACGGGAGGCAGCAGUGGGGAAUAUUGCACAAUGGGGGAAACCCUGAUGCAGCGACGCCGCGUGAGUGAAGAAGUAUUUCGGUAUGUAAAGCUCUAUCAGCAGGGAAGAAGAAAGACGGUACCUGACUCAGCCGCCCCGGCUAACUACGUGCCAGCAGCCGCGGUAAUACGUAGGGGGCAAGCGUUAUCCGGAUUUACUGGGUGUAAAGGGAGCGUAGACGGCUGUGCAAGUCUGAAGGGAAAGCCCAGGGCUCAAACCUGGGACUGCUUUGGAAACUGUGGAGCUAGAGUGCUGGAGAGGUAAGUGGAAUUCCUAGUGUAGCGGUGAAAUGCAUAGAUAUUAGGAGGAACACCAGGGGCGAAGGCGGCUUACUGGACAGUAACUGACGUUGAGGCUCGAAAGCGUGGGGAGCAAACAGGAUUAGAUACCCCUGUAGUC
This 441-nucleotide ribosomal RNA is filed under the name uncultured bacterium. RNAcentral describes it as "partial 16S ribosomal RNA". It matches the Rfam family "Bacterial small subunit ribosomal RNA", at positions 338 to 795 of the family's 1533-position model. The record is from RNAcentral.